GACGAACGCUGGCGGCGUGCUUAACACAUGCAAGUCGAACGGAAAGGCGCCGCUCUUGUGGGGUGCUCGAGUGGCGAACGGGAGAGUAACACGAGAGUAACCUGCCCUUGACUUUGGGACAACUUAAGGACACUGGGGCUUAUCUCGGAUAGGAGCUCCUGCUGCAUGGUGGGGGUUGGAAAGUUUCGGCGGUUGGGGAUGGACUGGCGGCGUAUCAGCUUGUUGGUGGGGUAGUGGGUUACCAGGGCUUUGACGGGUAGCCGGCCUGAGAGGGUGACCGGCCACGUUGAGACUGAGAUACGGCCCAGACUCCUGCGGUAGGCAGCAGUGGGGGAUAGUGCGCUGUGGGCGGAAGCCUGGUGCGGCAACGCCGCGUGCGGUGUGACGGCCUUCGGGUUGUGAACCGCUUUCGCCUGUGACGAAGCGUGAGUGACGGUAAUUGGUAAAGAAGCACCGGCUAACUACGUG
Molecule: ribosomal RNA, 468 nt
Filed under: uncultured bacterium
Lineage: Bacteria
Description: partial 16S ribosomal RNA
Rfam family: Bacterial small subunit ribosomal RNA
Source: RNAcentral